Non-coding RNA from Bubalus bubalis (water buffalo), 721 nucleotides. NCBI's taxonomy places the organism in Eukaryota, Metazoa, Chordata, Mammalia, Artiodactyla, Bovidae. The record is from the annotation of a RefSeq genome assembly.
UGUGGUCAGACUCUUGUCUCCUCCCUCUGGCUCCUCCCUCUUCCACCCCUCCCUUAUUUCUCUCACCAGUUGCCCCGGGUAGCCUGGGAGAAGCACCCACUCAGACCCUGACCUGACCUCCAUCAUACACCCAGGUGUGGAGCCUCCGGGCAACUUGAGCCCCACCACCAUGGGCUCUUCUCUUGGGGCAGGGGGCAGAGCCGUUCUGGGCCUCAUGGCCCUCCUCUGGGCCCUCGUGGUUCCAGGCAUCCAGCAGGAGAUCAGGGUGUUCCAGCGGUCCGUGAUGGUGGGGCACACGGGUGGAGCUAUCACUAUGCCCUGUCAGAUCAGUAAGUCUGUGGAUUACGUCCACUGGUUCCGCCAGCUGGAGGGCCAGGCCCCUGAGAGGCUUCUCUAUCUAGCCUUGUCCAAGCGGGAUGUGCAGUGGGAUUCAGUCCUAAGAGGUGAUAAAGUCAACGCGGCCCACGGCACGGAUGGCAAGAGCUGCACCAUGUCCUUGAGGAAGCUGGCGAAGAGCGACGAAGGACUGUACUACUGUGCUACCUGGGAAUCGGCACAGCAGUGUGCGCAGCCCCGGGAUCUGCACAAAAAGCGCUGAGACCCACUGCUCUCCCAGUCCUGGCAACUGCCACCGCCUCCAGGUCCCUUAGGUUGCCUUGGGGAGAUCUCUCAGCUUCCUGAUGACUCCCCCCACUGUAGGGCUUCUGCAAAUAAAAUCUGA